Molecule: unclassified non-coding RNA, 263 nt
Filed under: plant metagenome
Description: partial contains small subunit ribosomal RNA, internal transcribed spacer 1, and 5.8S ribosomal RNA
Rfam family: Eukaryotic small subunit ribosomal RNA (bases 1-54)
Source: RNAcentral
GGAAGUAAACGUCGUAACAAGGUUUCCGUAGGUGAACCUGCGGAAGGAUCAUUAUUGAAUGAAACACUUCUGGCUUUAUGCUGUUGUGCUGGCCCUUUGGGCAAUGUGCACACGGCUCUGGUCACUUGUUUCUUCUGUUCCACCUGUGCACUGCCUGUAGACACGCUGUGUCUAUGAUAUUUGUUAACACACAACAAUGUUAGUUGGCAUGUUAUAUAUAAUAAUAAAAUAUACAACUUUCAACAACGGAUCUCUUGGCUCUC